GGCGCCGUAAAAUUACAACUGGUUACGUCCAAAACGCUGCCCUGUCACGGCAGAGGUCGCGAGUUCGAGUCUCGUCGUCCCCGCCA
This 86-nucleotide transfer RNA is filed under the name Acidobacteriota bacterium. Its description in RNAcentral is "Acidobacteria bacterium tRNA-Asp". The stretch from base 20 to 75 matches the Rfam family "tRNA", at positions 8 to 63 of the family's 71-position model. From Rfam's summary of the family: Transfer RNA (tRNA) molecules are approximately 80 nucleotides in length. The record is from RNAcentral. Lineage: Bacteria; Pseudomonadati; Acidobacteriota.